UUCUGUUUCUUCAACAAAUUCGCAAACCCAAUAUGUAAAGCUUUAAUUGUUACGUCUUCUCUUUGUUUCCUCUUUUGUUUAUUCGUCUAACUCUGCUACUGUGCUUUAAUUUCAGAGUUUAUGAACUUAAGCAAGAUGAAGAUAAGAGUUGUUCAGCUCUUUGAACUUCAGCAAGACAAAGACUUCAAAGCAUCAUUUUUUGUCUUAUCAUCUAUAGUAAUAUAAUUGGUAAGCUUAUUAGUUCUAAUUAAUUUAAUAGCAGAACCAUUUGGUAGAAAGCGUAGCUAAGGAAGCGAAGAUCGUAGGUGUUGAUCCAGCAUAUGAUCUGGCUGUUCUUAAGCUGUUAAAUCAACCUAUUACUUAUUGUUGUUGCCAAUUGUCAUUUUGUUACUAAUUUAUUCUCUAUACUGGUCAGCUUUAUACUGACAAUUCUAAUUUCUCCAUCAAAAAGAUUUUAUAUAUUGGUCAGUGGAAGUAAACUAUGACAAAUAUGAUAUUAACUAAUCCUUCCAUUCUAUAUUAUAUUAUAGACACUUUUUGAGUGGGAAUGGAAGUUAAGAUAUUAAUUUGGUUUAUACAUUGUAUUAGUGA
RNAcentral lists this long non-coding RNA (591 nucleotides) under Nicotiana tabacum (common tobacco). RNAcentral describes it as "long non-coding RNA (NTAB_LNC007093)". The record is from RNAcentral. Lineage: Eukaryota; Viridiplantae; Streptophyta; Magnoliopsida; Solanales; Solanaceae.